Molecule: ribosomal RNA, 270 nt
Filed under: uncultured prokaryote
Description: partial 16S ribosomal RNA
Rfam family: Bacterial small subunit ribosomal RNA
Source: RNAcentral
UACGUAGGUGGCGAGCGUUGUCCGGAUUUACUGGGCGUAAAGGGAGCGUAGGCGGACUUUUAAGUGAGAUGUGAAAUACCCGGGCUCAACUUGGGUGCUGCAUUUCAAACUGAAAGUCUAGAGUGCAGGAGAGGAGAAUGGAAUUCCUAGUGUAGCGGUGAAAUGCGUAGAGAUUAGGAAGAACACCAGUGGCGAAGGCGAUUCUCUGGACUGUAACUGACGCUGAGGCUCGAAAGCGUGGGGAGCAAACAGGGAUUAGAUACCCCCGUA